RNAcentral lists this ribosomal RNA (244 nucleotides) under uncultured bacterium. Its description in RNAcentral is "partial 16S ribosomal RNA". It matches the Rfam family "Bacterial small subunit ribosomal RNA", at positions 90 to 334 of the family's 1533-position model. The record is from RNAcentral.
CGUGAGCGGCGGACGGGUGAGUAACGCGCGGGUAACCUGCCUCAUACAGGGGGAUAACAGUUGGAAACGGCUGCUAAUACCGCAUAAGCGCACAGUACCGCAUGGUACGGUGUGAAAAACUCCGGUGGUAUGAGAUGGACCCGCGUCUGAUUAGGUAGUUGGUGGGGUAACGGCCUACCAAGCCGACGAUCAGUAGCCGACCUGAGAGGGUGACCGGCCACAUUGGGACUGAGACACGGCCCAA